UGAGCAAGGGUUUCAAAAAAAAAAGUUAGAAAAAUCAAAAACAAAGCUUUAUAGCCACUUCAGAAAGCCUGGAUGUUUAACCUGUAAGGAAGUCUGUCAAAUCCUUGUGGAAACCAUAUAGAGAAAAGAUCAAUAGGAUACCUACUGGCUCCAUUAGCUUGAUGUAAAAGGGGGCGAGGGAAGCUGCUCUUCCACAAGAGAAGCUACAUUAUUCCAGGGAUUAUGCGGGAUCAGUUCACUUUGCAGAGAAGAAGAAGAGAAAAUGAAUGAAGAUUCUUGGUGGGCCAAGACUGCAGAGAAAGGGCUUGUCAGGUUGAGCUUUAAUUCCUUUCACUGGGAUUCAUCACUUCCUUAUAAAAUUUCAUUUUCUUGGUUGUUCAGUAGAAGAGUGACAAGAGGACACCACUGCUAUUCUCCAGAUUUUAGAGAAGAACAAUUGAACUUUUUUUUUUAACACAAUGAAGAUAACACCAACAUAUCUUGAACUUGGCAGAUGGAACUAGGCUACUGAUACUCUUCUAGUAAGGACAAAAGUCUGGAGUUAGAAGGCUGUUGGCAGUGGUUCAGAGGACCAGCUCUGUUAAGGCCAGUAAGUCUCCAAUUCUCAAGCUUUUCACCUCAUUGCCACAAGUUUGCUGUUGCAGCUCACAACGUCAUACCCACUUUCAAGAUGGGAAGAAAGGAGACAGAGUGAUUCCAGCCCUGUAUCUCCUUUGUAUAAAGAAAGCAAAAACGUUUUAGAAACCCCAUAACAGAAUUUCACUGAUUUCUAAUUAGCCAAAACUGUAUCACACAACCUUCCUUUGAUAUAAGAGAAGCCAGGAAAGCAAGUAGUUUAGUGGAACACAUAUAAAAAUUCCCAGA
Molecule: long non-coding RNA, 864 nt
Filed under: Homo sapiens (human)
Lineage: Eukaryota; Metazoa; Chordata; Mammalia; Primates; Hominidae
Description: HSALNT0087574
Source: RNAcentral